Molecule: long non-coding RNA, 3069 nt
Organism: Pan troglodytes (chimpanzee)
Lineage: Eukaryota; Metazoa; Chordata; Mammalia; Primates; Hominidae
Exons: 4
Source: RefSeq, a predicted model, not a curated record
GAAGAAAAGCAGGCCACCGGAGCCUCGGAGAGGCAACCGUUUGGGGUACUCUUCCACACUGUGGCAGCUUUGUUCUUUUGCUCUUUGCAGUAAGUUUUGCUGUUGCUUACUCUUUGGGUCCGCACUGCCUUUAUGAACUGUAACACUGACCAUGGAGGUCUGCAGCUUCACUCCUGAAGCCAGCAAGACCAGGAGCCCACCGGGAAGAGGAAUGAACAACUCUGGACACGCCACCCUUAAGAGCUGUAACACUCACCGCGACGGUCUGCAGCUUCACUCCUGAAGUCAGCGAGACCACGAACCCACCAGAAGGAAGAAAAUCCGGACACAUCUGAACAUCUGAGGGAACUCUGCACACACCAUCUUUAAGAACUGUAAUACUCACCGCGAGGGCCCGUGGCUUCAUACUUGAAGUCAGCAAGACCAAGAACCCACCAAUUCUGGACACAACAGGACACACACAUGGGAGGGGGAGGCCAGAGGGAAACCUAGCUGGCUUGGGGUGGGAAUUUCAAUCCCUGAGCCCAUCUUCUUCUUUCACCACUUUGUCCGGUGACAUUAGGACCGACCAACCAAUGCCAUUAUAUUUCUUAGUUUACAAGAAAAUGUUUGAAGUUCUCAUCCACAGAAUCACUUAGCUUCUUGCUUUUUACAAGUGGUUGAUUAGGAGUAUUCAAUACAGAUUUUGUGUAUUACUAUAAACAGUUCACAGCAUGGACUACUGGUGUUCUCUUUACUAACUGAAAUGGUGUCAUUAGCACCUUUAAAUCUAAUCCAUUUAGAGAGCCAGUUCCGGAAACCUCAGAACCAGUUUGGAAAACUUCUGUUCUUCUGAAGCCAUUUUUGGAACCACAUCUGUGCUAGGUUCUCCAGGGAAACAGAACCAAUAUGUUUUAUUUACUAUGGGGACUGGCUCAUAUGAUUCUGGAGGCCUAGAAGUCCCUCCCUCUCAAGAUCUGCUGUCAGCAAGCUGCAGAACCGGGAAAGCUGGUGGUGUCAGAGUCUGAAGGCCUGAGAACUGGGUGGGGAGUGGGAUAGACUAAGGGGCCUUUAGUCUCUGGGUUGGUGUGGUCCCCACAGGUGAGCCUUUCGUGGAGAAGGGUGGAGAGGGGAUCUGGAAGGGCCAAUAGAAGACACUCAGCACUAAGAGACCUUUGGACUCAGACCAGAACUUACACCAUUCAUUCAUUCAGUCGGUGAAAAUGUAUUGACCAAUGUAUCAACCAGGAUUGCGACACAAAAACAGAUGGCACACUCAAAAGAGGAUAAUUCAAGAAGGGCUUCUUUAAGGGACUAUUUCCCAAGAUGGGAAUGGAGGGGAACCUGCAGGGCUAGUGUCCUACCCUCCAGCAGGCAGCAGCUAAUUCCUGAGGGGAUAAGGACGUGGUUGCGAGGACAUGGAGGGAAAGUUCUACAGAGGAGGCACAGUGGGCUUCAGGAACACCCUGCUUGAGAGGCCUGUGAGAGGUGGGGAAUCAAGACCUGACCUCGCUCUCCUUCCAUCUCUCCCCAACCCACAGGGGUUGGUGUGGGCCCCACAGGCGAGCCUCCCGGGGAGAGGAGUGGAGAGGACCUGGAGGGCCAGUAGAAGGGAGAAAGAAGUAUUUGCUAAGAAUGGCAAUCCUGACACUCAGCCUUCAACUCAUCUUGUUAUUAAUACCAUCAAUAUCCCAUGAGGCUCAUAAAACGAGUCUUUCUUCUUGGAAACAUGACCAAGAUUGGGCAAACGUCUCCAACAUGACUUUCAGCAACGGAAAACUAAGAGUCAAAGGCAUUUAUUACCGGAAUGCCGACAUUUGCUGUCGACAUCGCGUAACCUCAGCAGGCCUAACUCUGCAGGACCUUCAGCUAUGGUGUAAUUUGAGAACCAUUCACUGAGCAUCGACUAUGUAACCAGCAUUGGGUUGGGUGCCAGAGAUCCAAAGCUAAGACACCAAAACCUGCUCUCCAGGAAACGAGAGGCUGAGAAGAGGGCCAGCAGGUGUCUGUCAGUACUUGGAGCCGUGAGAGCAGGGAGUGGGUGCUGGGCUGAGGAACCAGAGGUAAUGGCCCUGGGGACGCCUGGGAAGAGAUGAGUUUUGAGGCAAAGAAUUGUUAACAUACAAGAUAACCAAAGCACGAAGGCUCUGAUGCGUGAUAAAAUAAUCAUUUCUCAAAACAGGAAGAUGAGAACUGCAUUUCGAGUUGUAUCACUUGGUACGCAAUACUUGCAAUCUGUGUGCUGUAAUUACAGUGUUUCUUCACUCUAAGUGCAUCUGACUGAUACUAGCAUAACAAAAGACGUGAUUGCAGUAGUGUUUUUCUUUUACUUCAUUUGUUAAACAGUGCAGAAAUCCAAAUAACAACAUUCUCAACAGCAAACAGAAUCUCUGUCAUUUGAGAAGGUUUUGCUAUGCUACGGAAUGCCUGUGUUUGGAAAAACAGAGAAAAAGGUUUUUAGCGGGUUCCACUAAGCACAGUAUUCUAUCUGCUUGGUAUACACGAUCAAAAAUAACUUAACCUUUGUCUAGGGAAAGUCUUUAAGGUAGCUCUUACUGCAUAUCUUCACUAUAUGUACACAGACACCAUAUUUAUAUAUUAUAUAUUUAUAUAAGACAUGUAUGUACACAUUUACAGACCUUCAAAAAUAUAUUGCACUUAUAUACAAUGCAGCUUUAUCUUAACUGAUUUCAUACUGUAACCCAUUAAAAUUCUUCAUGAGAAAGGCAGUUGAUAUGUCCGAGAAAGUCGCAAAGGAAGAUUUCAGUAACAUGCCCUGUUUAGUAAACAUCUGGUGGAGAGUGAGAGGGUAAGGGAGAGAGGGCUCCCCCCUGUACUCUUCAGGUGCGCUCCCGCUAACGUGAGGCAGUGGAGUUGUACUGAAUUCAGGCAAGGGCACGAAAUCCUUAAAGCCAAGCCUAUCGUCUUUUCUGACUUCUGCUAGCGAGCAGGCCCACGACAUUGUAGGCACAAGGCAGAGAUCCCAAAAUUUUGAUAAAUAACGUAGCAGAUGUCCUAAAGCUUCCCAGAGACUCUGUUAACUCUUGGAAUAAAGUUUUCACUUUAAAUCCUGUAUAUAUCAGGAAAUUC